UUUGGACUUUUUUUAGUGCUUGAAUAUUUCAAAAAAGGUUUCUUACCGUACAUUUCUAUGUAUUUAUAGAUCUUCACCUCCUCACGAUUUGCCUGUCCGGCAGGCGGCUCUACUCCUGCCUUCCCCUAGGAAGCGCAGAGCUGCCCCCACACAGCUUCAAUUAGGGGAAGAGCGGGAUGUGGAGGUUAGGCCGAAGAGGGCCAGACUGGCAGGAUGCAGGAGUGAAAAUCAAUGUUCACCUCCUCAUGCUCUGCCUGUCGGGCAGGUAAUUUUCUUGCGACCUCCACCCCUGCGCGUCUCGAGGAAGCACUCUGCUCCUUUCUCGCAGGGAGUGGAGGUUAGCCCCAAGAAAGCCAGACUGGCAGGAUGCGAGAGUGAGAAUCAUCUGCAUGCCCAGCAGGCACCUCCUCCGGCAACUCCUCCUGCAGAUGGGUCAGUUCAAAUAUUUUGGAAAAGACGAAGUGUACAAAAGCACAUUUAAUUCCCAUCACAAGAGACAACAGGACACAUCAAAUAAAACUUGUUUUAAUCAAAUGUGUUUUUAAAGUCUAUUGAUUUAAACAGACAAUCCACAGAAUAAUGUGAGAUUUCCGACAAAUUGAAACGUUACCUUUCUAUUGCAGAAUGACUUAUGUGAGUGUAUAAAGUUUGUGAGAAGGAGCUAUUUUAACUCAACUAAACUGCAGAAUAACUGGUGACUUAUAUAUAACCUUUGUAUAGCCUAUGACAGUGGUUCUCAACUCCAGUCCUCGGGACCCACUGCUCUGCAUAUUGUGCAUGUCUCCCUUAUUUAACACACCUGAUAAAGAUCAUCAACUCGUUAGGAUAGAUUCCAUGAACUGAACUGAGUGUGUCAGAUAUGAGAGACAUCCAAAAUGGCAGAGCAGUGGAUCCCGAGGACUGGAGUUGAGAUUGAGAACCACUGGCCUAUGAUAUAAUGAUGAAGCCGUUGCCUCUUUGUCUCUACUGUAAAUGUGCCCCUCUCGCCAUAGUGAGAUUUCAAUUAAGUAAGCUUUUAUUGUCAUAUGUGAGGACAUACAGUGGUACAAAAUAUUGUAUCUCUCAGGACCAUGGUGUUACAAAUAGUGACAUGAGGAAACAACACAGACGGUUUCAGCAGUAACAACAUAAACAAACGGCUUUCUUGGAAUAAACGUAUCACAAAAAAUCAAUAACAAUAGUGUAGUUUAUUUCUGAUAACAAGCAAAAUAACAAGUAGAUUACCUUAAUCAUAGCUAAAGUGUAUCAAAACUACUCCGAGCUAAUGUUACUGUAUUAAUGUAUACAAUUUUAACAGAUCG
Misgurnus anguillicaudatus (oriental weatherfish) is the source of this 1301-nucleotide non-coding RNA. The record is from RefSeq and is a predicted model, not a curated record. Lineage: Eukaryota; Metazoa; Chordata; Actinopteri; Cypriniformes; Cobitidae.